Calidris pugnax (ruff) is the source of this 2722-nucleotide long non-coding RNA. RefSeq lists it as uncharacterized. The transcript has 3 exons. The record is from RefSeq and is a predicted model, not a curated record. Lineage: Eukaryota; Metazoa; Chordata; Aves; Charadriiformes; Scolopacidae.
CAGUGCAGUGAAACUCAGAUCAUUAUGUUGACUGAAUUCGUUACCGCCGGACUCGCCCCACCAUGAAAUAGCACUGCUCAGCCAAUUGGGAUUCAUGGUCACAGCCCUUCACGGGAUCAUCGGGGUUUAUAGUCCAUAACAAAUACAAAUGCAGAAAGGAACAAUAACAGUGUGGUACAUCUGACCUAUUAUCCCACCUUGUGAGACUUUUGUCACGAAUACACCCGAACAGUGACUGGCUACAUGUUUGCUGUUGUGCAGACGCAUGGGACAGUCACCUAGGAACGAGAAGCCAUGCCUCAAAACAGCGCUGUUGCUGUUGUCUUCAGUGACUAAAAGCUGUCUUUAUGCUUACAACACAUCGUUCAUGAUUUAUGUAAAACACCGGUGUGUGAGGGAGCUUAGGAGGUUUGCUGGGAGCAUCAGAAGAAGCCUGAAAUCCCAGCAGGUCACCCCUUUCAAAGCAACAAAUACGACUGUCUACAUGCCACCAAAACGCAAGAGCAAACUCAAGCGUGAAGACACACAGUCGGCACAACCUCUGUUUGCAAGUCAGCCGCUCCGCGCUGCACAACGUGACUGAUCCCUAGAUAUUUUAUGUCAAAGUAACAUUUCUUAUGAAACAUAUAGAGAUUCCCUGCCAUGGAGAGAUUUAGCCUACCUACAGCACUUUCACGGUUAUCUGCUCAGAUUAAUCGCAGGAGGCUGGCCGUGGAUGUAGGACAAUAGAUCAGUUCUUUUUGUACCCCAAGGAUAAAAUAAGAAAUGGUGACCUGAAAUGCAGAUAAAGAGGAAAGGAUGAGAGCUUGAUUUCUCUACUCUAAGCCCCGUGCUAACACGUGUGAACCAGCAGAUUGUGUCACCCCUUUGGGACCUGCUUAUGUGCAUUUUGGAUCAUACUUUGUGAUAAAUGGAGGUGGAGUUUUAUGUAGCAAAGAGGAAAACUAGUAGAAAUAUGUGCCAAUUGACAAUCCAAACAGUAUUGACGUUUGAACAACAUAAAUUCUGACCUAGUAUAAGGUAGUAGUUUGAUGAAAGAUUCAGUUGCACCCAGUCUAAUUGUGCACAUGUAUUAUACUGGAUAUAGCCACUUUCUGCAUGUGCUUUCUUAAUCUUUGGAUGUCUGUUCUUUGGAUGUCAUGUUACAUUUAUCUCUGCCCUUUCCCUGAACCCCAGUUCACCACCAGCUUGCAGACCCCAGCAUCUCCACAUGCUCUACUUCCAGCAGUUUGUUAUCUAGAGCUACCUCUGGAAGACUUAACACUGUUUUUAGCAGAUUUUCUGUCAGGGUUGAAAGAAGACAACCGUGGGAAUUUGGGUGUGGAUAUGCUGGGUGAAUCCUCAAGAAAAGGGCAGGUGGCUGUGUGGGAUUGCUUCUAUGAGGGCUGUAUAGAAAACACUCUUACAGUAUUCCCGAGCAGACCUGCUUUUUAGGUCAAGAAUAAACAAUGUAUACAAUAAUACUUACUGCUUUUGGACAGCGAAGUACAAGUUGGAAUUUGAGAGCCCUACAGCAACAGCCCCAGGACAGUGACCGUAUACAAACUUCUCGUGGAGAUCACCUGGGACAUUGUGGCAGAAAUCACAUUUAAAACAACUGGGAAUGACUUCUCCUUGGCCCAAGUAACAGCAUAACAGCUUCCUCCUCCUAAACCAUCUGCCUCCUGCCUUCCUUCACAAGACCCUCUUACAUUGCUUUAGGAUUCAGGAGCUUGUACUAAUUUAGGAGCCUCACUGAAUCUCUUUACCAGCACAAGCUACGAAAAAUGCAUCGAGCAUAUCCUCUGCUCUUUGCACUGGCUUGCUGUGAAAUUGAAGAACAAACUCCAGCUUGCAGUCCUGGUCUUGGGGACAUUUCAUGGCCUGGUCCCAGUGCAGAUGAAGGCUUCUCAAAGCUGGGCGGUGGAUCCCGUGCCUGUGGCAUGUGUCCUGUGUGGUGCAGGGCACAGCUCUGCCAGCGACACGGCACUGCUUGUGGCAGGAGUGAAGCUUCCUUCUGCAGAAGGCCGACAGGAGUACUCACGCCAUCCAAAACCUGGGUCCAAGCUCUGCUCUGCUCCCUGGUGAGAUGCUCUCUGGUGGUAGCACUUUGAUUCAGUUGCCUCUUCCACAUUGGUGGCAUUUCUUGCAGUGGCAUCCAAAGCUGUGAAUUACUUCACUGUGGCCUUUGGCCAGGACCUUUUCCUUGCCAUACUUUUCCUUAUCUCUCCUGCAGCGUCUGAGGAUGGCAUAGGACUAAUUCGGAGUUUCUUCUUCAUUCUCCUGGUGGGUGAUAGACUUUUCCCUCCUUGGAGAAGUUUGCUUCCUGACUCUGCAUAGCCUCAAAAACAGUAUCGUCGUGGACAUUAUCUACUCUUUUUGUCAGGCCUUGGAAUCUUGAAAGAGACCUUGGAAUUGUGUCUACUGCAAGAGCAGUAUUUCCAAAUACACUGCAUUAAAUGGCUUAUUCUGAAUUGAAUAACAUUUCUCCUCUCUAUUUAUGGAUGUUCUGUUCUGGAAAUGUAUGGGAGGGAAGGGCGAUUGUUUCAUCCCCCAUUUUGCCCUUUAGAAAACAUGCAUACACAUAAAUCCUUUUCUCUGAAUAAAAUGUGACCUGAAGGCCUCAGCUAUCCAAAAAGCUGACUGGUCUUUUAGGUCCUUUUAGGACCUUUUUUAGGUCCUUGACUUUUGUCCUUGAAAUAGGAAAGAGUGAAAACACGGAAAAAAAUUUCAUGAAAAAUAC